ACAUCAAGUUUUCCAGACUUACCGAUGGGAAAGAAGAAAUGGGAAUGUGACAAUUAUUGAGAAACUCAGGGAAAAAGCAUCUUUAGAGAAGAAAAUGGACAUCAGACAUUUAUUGAAGAAAGCUGACAGUCAACAUAAUGAUGAGAGCUGUGUUAUACAAUGUUAAGGAUACUCGUUCAUCUUCUGCUGUGUGAAUUCUGCUGUGUCAGUCCUGUGGGACUUGAUGCCGGCUGGUACCAGUGUGACGUCUUUGCUUACUAAAUGAUCAAAGGGUGUCUGAAAUCAGCUCAGCCACAGUUGGUUUCCAACGGUUCUUCAGGACAUGGAGGCCACUACGUAACUGUUGCAAUGAACGAUUCUUUUGCCUUUCCACCUGAUGUUGACAAUCUGACCUGUACGGUACUGAAAACAACUUGCGCUGACAUAUCUUAAAAUAUAUCAGUGCCCUUUGUUUUGCUUCAAAAUGCACACCAGUAAUGUUUUUUGUUGAAACCAGUUAUAUUUCCUAAUUAAACUAAGGCCUAGUCCUGGAUUAAGCUAAUCCCCUGUCCGGGAAACCGCCCCUAAAUGUUUUGUGACGGAAAUUUCUUUGAAUACACUUGUCAAGUUCAUUUUAAGUAUUUUUCUAAAUGUAAGAUAACAUGUUAA
Non-coding RNA from Misgurnus anguillicaudatus (oriental weatherfish), 648 nucleotides. The record is from RefSeq and is a predicted model, not a curated record. NCBI's taxonomy places the organism in Eukaryota, Metazoa, Chordata, Actinopteri, Cypriniformes, Cobitidae.